UCUCUAGUAGCUCAGAUGGUAAAGCAUCUGCCUCCAAUGCAGGAGACUUGGGUUCAAUCCCUGGGUUGGGAA
RNAcentral lists this transfer RNA (72 nucleotides) under Ovis aries (sheep). It matches the Rfam family "tRNA". From Rfam's summary of the family: Transfer RNA (tRNA) molecules are approximately 80 nucleotides in length. The record is from Rfam by way of RNAcentral. Lineage: Eukaryota; Metazoa; Chordata; Mammalia; Artiodactyla; Bovidae.